CCCCAUCUUUGCUUCUGGACUAGCAGAACCAUGGGAUGUUCAGGUGGACAGCUAUGGCCAAGAGUGCUACUGGCAGCUGAGAUAGAAUUAUUUGGUUUUUUUUCUUUUCUCCGUAGAAUGGGGUGAGAUGAUUUGAUGCUCUCCCAGUUUUCUCUGGACAAAAAGAGAAACCCAAAGCCCCCCCUAAAGCAGGGUGUCGACAGAGGUCAGCGGGUGGCAGCGAGAUAAAGGACGUGUGAGCUCUGUGUUGGGUGAAACAAGCAGGGGCCAUGUGAGUAAACAUCACAGUUAUCUAACACACUGCCUCUCUGCACAUGUGCAGAGUGUUCUUAUUGUUUUAGCCCAAUCCUGCUGGGCUCUACCCUGCGUUAACUGCUGUGGGUUACAUGCUGCUUGGUGUGGGGCCUCUCCCGAAUGUUUCCUUCCUUCUUUUGGGAUCCAGGAGGGUGAACAGAAGAAGCUGCUCCUGCGUUUGGGGGUUCUUUUGGAGGGGGAAAGGUGGGAGAGAGCCUUUUUCCUGACCAGCCUUGAGUCAACCCCAGGUGGGGUUGUCUCCAGGCAUCCAAGGGGAAGUUGAGCAUCCAAGGGGUUUUCCAGAGUCCCGUGUUCUGGCCAUCUUUUAGGUCCCCAGACCCUAUGAAUCCCAGGUUCCAGAGGUGGAGUUUACUGGGAGGGCCCUUGGUACUCCAUUCCCGGUCUGGAAAAGGGCCUCCCACCAAGUGACUACUUUGGAGAAAGACCUCAUAAUCAAAACCUUACCACCAAUUUGCUAGUUUGGUGGAAGGCUGGGGGGAACUCCUCAGUGUAUCCUAAUUUCUGGGUUUGUCCUGAGUUAACUUUCUCAACCUUCCUUCAGUGUCCAAUUAAACCAUUCC
Molecule: long non-coding RNA, 875 nt
Filed under: Pogona vitticeps (central bearded dragon)
Lineage: Eukaryota; Metazoa; Chordata; Lepidosauria; Squamata; Agamidae
Description: lncRNA (ENSPVIG00000006749.1)
Source: RNAcentral